This is a non-coding RNA of Oncorhynchus kisutch (coho salmon), 2158 nucleotides long. The record is from the annotation of a RefSeq genome assembly. Lineage: Eukaryota; Metazoa; Chordata; Actinopteri; Salmoniformes; Salmonidae.
AAACAGUCUCUCAUUGUGUGUCCAAUAGAUUAUCCCUCUGAGUCCUGGAGAGUAGAGAAGUGCAUCUCCUACCAGUUCAGCUUCAACACAAACCAUGUUCAGUGCAUCUCUACUGCUGCUGGCAGCUGCGUCCUGUGUUCACUGUGAAGAACUCACUCAGCCAGCCUCUAUGACUGUCCAGCCAGGUCAACCACUGACCAUCUCCUGUAAGGUCUCAUAUUCUGUUACUAGCUAUUGGACAGCUUGGAUCCGUCAACCUACAGGGAAAGGACUGGAGUGGAUUGGAUGGAUAGCUUGUAUUUCUGGUCCAAGUGGUAGUACUAUCCACUACUCCCAGUCAGUUCAGGGACGGUUCACCAUCUCCAGAGACAACAGCAAGCAGCAGGUGUAUCUCCAGAUGAACAGCCUGAAGACUGAAGACUCUGCUGUUUAUUAUUGUGCUAGAGACAAAGCGACACAGGAUGGAUACUUUGACUAUUGGGGGAAAGGAACAAUGGUCACAGUCUCAUCAGCAACCACAGCCCCCUCUUCCCUAUUCCCUCUUAUGAACUGUGGAACCCCUACUAACGACAUCUACAGCAUUGGUUGUGUCGCUACCGGCUUUUCGCCUUCCUCAAUCACCUUCAAAUGGACGGACUCCAGCGAGAGUCCGCUGACGGACUUUGUCCAGUACCCGUCGGUUCAGAGCGGGGGAGCCUACAUCGGAGUCAGUCAGCUCCGCGUGUCUAAGAAUGAAUGGGGAAAAUCUGAGUAUUUCAGGUGUUCUGUGGAACAUCCUGGAGGUAAAAAGACAACAGUCAUCAAUAAACAACCAGUCUCAGUGUCUUUGCUGUCAGCGCCCAUUGGCAACACCCAGUACCUGAUGUGUAUGAUUGAAGAUUUAGCCGUUGUGGAAGUCACUGUCACCUGGAAGAAGAAUGAUAAGGAGGUGGAGGGCCCGACCCCUACUGUAGGCCUACAGCCAUCAGGCCUCUACUCAGCCAGCAGUCUGCUGAAGGUCAACAACACUGACUGGAACAACAAGGUCAAGUACAGCUGUGUGGUGCAGCACCAGGGACAAAACCCCACCAUCAAGACAAUCUCCAAAACAGAACCACUGACGGUGACUCUGAACCCACCGAGUGUGAAAAAGGUGUUCUUGGACAACCAAGCAGUGCUGGACUGUGUCAUCGCUGGUACAGACCAGAACACAGUGGCUGGUACCACUAUCACCUGGCAGGUCAACGGAAAGGACGAGACGGAAAAAAUCGUUGAAUCAAAGGACAACCUGAACAGCAGGGUCAGUACUCUGACCAUAGACCAGACAAGGUGGACCAAUGUGAACAAAGUCCAGUGUUCUGCCAAGAAGAGUGGCGAAGUCACACCGGUCAUUCAGGACAUCAGCUUCACCAAAGGAAGUCGAGCCCCUUCAGUGUCCGUUCACCUUCUCCCGGAGGAAGACACCAAGAAGGAGGGGGAUGUGACUCUGGUGUGCCUGGUGGUCAGCCCAUCUCUCUGUGACGUCUACAUCAUGUGGAAGGAGGACCGCAGCGAGUACCAGGAUGGGGUCACCAGCCCUCCUCAGAAAACCCCGGAAGGCAACUACUCUGUCACCAGUGUCUUCACCAUCAAAAAAAAUAAGUGGGAGGGAAACUCGGUUUUCACAUGUGCCGUCAAGCACGGCUUGGACAACAACACAGCACCUCAGGAGAGGAGUGUGUCAAAGUCCAUGGCGAACAUCCUACUGACUGAGCCUGAGGCGGGCUUUGCUCUGAGCUGCACGGACAACGUUGAGGAUGAGUUCGGCAGCUUGUGGUCCACCACCUCCUCCUUUAUCAUCCUCUUUCUUCUCUCCCUCACCUACAGCACAGUACUCAGCCUGGUCAAGAUGAAGCAGUGAAGAACACAUGAAGGACUGCAGAGAUAGAUGGGUCUAGAUUAGAAAGAUGGUCUGGGAUUGUUAUGGCACAGUGAUCUUCAGUAAUAAUGUUAUGUAUAUAUCCAAUUCAUUAUUGAUUAUGAUUGAUUCAUUUUGUUGAUCUCAAUAUUAUGCAAGCAUUGUGGUGAUGUGUUAUUUUUCCUUCAAUGAUUUCUAUUGUACACUAUCUUUAAAUCUAAGUGUAUCCUCUGAUGUCUCUGUGAUCUUUUUCACUUUAAUAAAGUCUAAGAUUUAGCUAGU